UCCGCUUUAUCAGCGGCGGUUCCCCUAAAGUGCCCAACUGAAUGAUGGCAAUUAAGGGCGAGGGUUGCGCUCGUUGCGGGACUUAACCCAACAUCUCACGACACGAGCUGACGACAGCCAUGCAACACCUGUCUCCGGUCCAACUAAAUGCCCCUCCCUUUUCGGGGAAGGUCUACCGGGAUCCAAGGCUAGGUAAGGUUCUUCGCGUAUCUUCGAAUUAAUGGACAUGCUCCACCACUUGUGCGGGUCCCCGUCAAUUCCUUUGAGUUUUAACCUUGCGGCCGUAAUCCCCAGGCGGCAUGCUUACCGCGUUAGCUAAGCCACCGAGUUCUGUAGCGAACCCGACGGCGAGCAUGCAUCGUUUACGGCGUGGACUAC
RNAcentral lists this unclassified non-coding RNA (378 nucleotides) under uncultured Rhodospirillales bacterium. RNAcentral's name for it is "contains 16S-23S intergenic spacer region". Lineage: Bacteria; Pseudomonadati; Pseudomonadota; Alphaproteobacteria; Rhodospirillales. The record is from RNAcentral.